GAUGAACGCUGGCGGCGUGCCUAAUACAUGCAAGUCGAGCGAACAGACGAGGAGCUUGCUCCUCUGACGUUAGCGGCGGACGGGUGAGUAACACGUGGAUAACCUACCUAUAAGACUGGGAUAACUUCGGGAAACCGGAGCUAAUACCGGAUAAUAUAUUGAACCGCAUGGUUCAAUAGUGAAAGACGGUUUUGCUGUCACUUAUAGAUGGAUCCGCGCCGCAUUAGCUAGUUGGUAAGGUAACGGCUUACCAAGGCAACGAUGCGUAGCCGGCCUGAGAGGGUGAUCGGCCACACUGGAACUGAGACACGGUCCAGACUCCUACGGGAGGCAGCAGUAGGGAAUCUUCCGCAAUGGGCGAAAGCCUGACGGAGCAACGCCGCGUGAGUGAUGAAGGUCUUCGGAUCGUAAAACUCCGUUAUUAGGGAAGAACAAAUGUGUAAGUAACUAUGCACGUCUUGACGGUACCUAAUCAGAAAGCCACGGCUAACUACGUG
This 497-nucleotide ribosomal RNA is filed under the name uncultured bacterium. RNAcentral describes it as "partial 16S ribosomal RNA". It matches the Rfam family "Bacterial small subunit ribosomal RNA", at positions 28 to 507 of the family's 1533-position model. The record is from RNAcentral.